ACUAGGUUUCUGUCGCCCGUCCCACUUCUCUCGCGCACCCGUCGCUCCUCCUUCUCUUUGGCACGAGCAGCAGCCGCCGCUACUCUCCGCCUCCCUCCUCCUCCCCAUAGGAUUUCGACCUGCCCCUCCCUUGUGCUAGCCUCUGACGGCCAUGAAGGGGAGCGAGCUCGCCGUUGCCGUUAUCGGGAGGAGAGCGACCGACGGACUUGGAGCAUCCCCAUCGACGGGAGGAGCGCAGGAACCGUCGGCGCCCUCUGGCGACCAGAUCUUUUCCCUCGCCCGCCGCCGUGCCCCCGUCAAACGUAACACAUCAACGGGAGGAGAUGAAUCGCUGCUCUGCCCGGAGGAGCGGGUCGAAGGGAGUUAACGAGGCGGAUCUGCAGCACUGGCCUCACCUCAGGCAGCAGCUCAGCUGCGAGUACUGCUCUGGAGCUCCAGCCUGAGGCCAGAGCCGCCGGCGCAGGAAGCGUGCGGUCACCUCCCCCUUCCGCUCGAGCUGGUCGCCCUCCCGUUCGUUCUUGGAUCGCUCGUUCCUGAGGAGGAGAAGCGAUUGUCAAGAUCUUACUCGCCUGGCCGUGCUCGGGUGGAAGCCAGAUGCGGAAUUGACCUCCGGAAAUGGAGGAAUCGAGGCCGAGGAGGGCGCAGCCGGCGCCAGGAUCCGGACCGUGCCGAUCGCCGUCACGCCGGAGGGCUUCUGGUGCUGCUCCACGCCGCCGGCGCUGCACAAGAGCCUCAAGAACCCGCAUCACCACCACGGCCAUGGCGGCGGCAACAGCCACAGCCAUAGCCACAGCAAGCACCAGUGCAAGAUCCCGUCGGCGCCCCCGUCCGUGGCGCCCUCCGUGCAGAAGGCGCCGUCCGUGACCGACGAGCCAGGGCGCCGGGAAGCUCCCGACGAGCAGAACGCGGCGGCGGCCGAGACUGCGGCGGAUAAACGGCAGGAGCAGGCCGGUGACGCGGAGGCUUGGCAGCACAAGAUCUGCGUUGGGUUUGGGUAGCCUGAGACGAGUGAUCUGACGGUGAUACUGUAUCUGUAUGGCAAGGAAGGGAUUGCUGUCAUGAUGAGUGUGCAUAGGGACGUUCUCUGUGGAAGCAGCGCUUUCUUCGCCGAGAAGCUCUCUGACGGCGACAAUGGCCAUGGUGGCUCUCUGGUGCCAUGCGUGGAGAUCCAUGAUUGCGACGGUGCAGAGAUCUAUGUGGAGACCGUCGGGCUGAUGUACUGCGACGAGGCGAAGCAGAAGCUGCUCAAGCAGCAUGUGUCACGAGUGCUUCGCAUCAUGAAGAUACUGCCGAGGGAGCGGCUGAUGGAGGCGGUCUGCAGAUGGCGUGCGAGUCAAGGAGGUCCACCGCAAGCGGCCGAUGAUGGGUGCACCGUGGAUGAGAUCUCCGGUGGAAAGAUGCAUCCAGGCCCGGCCACCUCUCCACCAUGACGUGCCAGCCAGUUCUCUCUUGCCCCUCCUUCUACACCGUAUCGCCGUCUCACCCACCAGUCCGAGAGGGGGCAGAAGAGGAAGCCAUUUGCACUCACCAGUAAGUUGCGCAAGACUACAACCUCCCUCGAUGAGUACUGCCUCGGCUACGACCUCCCUCGGGGAGCUCCAUCUUCCACCUGCUCCUCUACUUCGGCUACUGUAUGGGACAUGGUUGUGACUAUGUUGAUGUGGUGCUCGUCUGGUUGAUGCUCUAUGCCCUGCUCAUGCAUCGGUUCCUACACAUAAAUCCCCAAGACCAACUUUGGUUGAUGCUAAAAUGUGAUGAGGUGGGGGUGCGGCGGUCUGCAUCCACGCGCUGCUCGGCAUCACCAGGUCGUCGGCACAUAUCCUCGUGCCCAUGCUGUUCAACACGCCGCAGCUCUUGCCCACAGAUCCUCGAGUAUUGAUUGUCAUGCCUUUGGUAGCAGUAGCCCCCAUUGGAUAGUUUUUUAUUUAUAAACAGAGAAGCUUUCUUUUACUUGAGAACUGAAGGAUCAUGUUACCUAGCGCAAAGGGAACUUUCUUUGUACAUAUAUUGAUUUAUUUACAUGUAUAUGAGAUCCACGAUUUAUGGCUCAUACCUGAUCCAUCUGAAUUGGGUAGCUUUCUUUUCUUCUUAGACAUAUAUCUAUCCAUCGAUAUGGCAUCUCCUUUUUUUUAUUAUUUAACAGUGUUUUGCUAGCAGUUAAAAUAAUCCUGUACAAUCUGGAAAUAUGUAGUUUUGAAUAGACAUAUUAUUUUGCUGAAGAGUUCAGUCCAUGCAUGUUUGGUUCCUCUCAGUUUAGUUAGUGGCCUAUAUGAAUUCGAUUUGGCCCGUGAUAUUUUUGUACAGUUAUUGAUUUGCUAGCAUAUAUUCUAAACUUAAUUUUGUUAGCUCGUAUGUGGUGUUCUUUCUUAUAAUAUCUUUUUAUCUGACGCAAGCUUAUUUUGUUCAUGAGAGUUUCUCCAUGUUUAUGAAGAAAAGAUUUGGGUUGAGAGCACCUUCAGAUAUAUAAAUUUGUUUUCUAAUUCUUGCUGGUCAGUGGCAAAGCAUUAAUUUUUGUUUGCUUUACAAUUUUUCAGGAGUAAUGGAAUGUUGAUUGGCUGGUGGCGGCAUGUUCAAGUAUGGGAAAUGAUGAGCUCGUGCUUAUUUUUAUGCCAGCUCUAUGCCGUAGAACCGUUAAAGUCUGAGCUAGGAUUUUGACUUGGUUAUCUGGUUUUUAUCUAUGCACAUGCAAUGCUCUUAAGGCUUGCAAAGCUGAUAGAUGGCGCAUAGAUGGAUGAUGAAAUUGUUAAUGUGGCUGUCCGUUCCCCAAACGACGAGGUGCACGCUUCCCGUCCAGCUCACUGUUGCCUCGCCGUCGUUCCUCAGUUGGAUCGGGAGAGGGGCGUCACUGGCGGUUGGACCAGAGAAGAAAGCGACUAGAGAGGGAACUAACGAUGGGAGAGUGUUUGGUGCUGGAUCCAAAAGUAAUUGCCGUCUACUGUUGCCCUUGAUUCUUGACUAUCGGAUUGCUGGUCCCAUAAGAGCCACAAUCGCACAAGGAAAUCUAAACAGCCGACUGGGUAUUGAUAAGAAAUACCAAUUUAAGAGGACCGUGAGAGAGCUCGGAGGGAAGAACGCAGUUGAUGACCAUAUUUGGUGCCUUCUUGUGCAAACAGUGGAAGCCUUUAAGUGAGCAUAUAUUCAUGUCGAACUUCUAUGCUAUUGACUCUUUGAUUGCCUGAUCCCCUUCAUCCUUCACUGUAGGGCUCGGCAUAAAGAACACAUAAAUAUAUAUUCAUGUGAAACUGAAAUUCAGACAACCUUAGAUUAACAUUUUUUCAUGUCAGUGGAUUGAUAGUUGUACUGAAUCUUGCCCUAUGUACAUGCCCAC
This 3328-nucleotide ribosomal RNA is filed under the name Triticum aestivum (bread wheat). Its description in RNAcentral is "partial small subunit ribosomal RNA". The record is from RNAcentral. Lineage: Eukaryota; Viridiplantae; Streptophyta; Magnoliopsida; Poales; Poaceae.